Molecule: transfer RNA, 75 nt
Filed under: Ancylobacter sp. 3268
Lineage: Bacteria; Pseudomonadati; Pseudomonadota; Alphaproteobacteria; Hyphomicrobiales; Xanthobacteraceae
Description: tRNA-Val
Rfam family: tRNA
About the family: Transfer RNA (tRNA) molecules are approximately 80 nucleotides in length. Their secondary structure includes four short double-helical elements and three loops (D, anti-codon, and T loops).
Source: RNAcentral
GGGCGAUUAGCUCAGCGGGAGAGCAUCCCCUUCACACGGGGAGGGUCACAGGUUCAAUCCCUGUAUCGCCCACCA